This 2129-nucleotide long non-coding RNA is filed under the name Acyrthosiphon pisum (pea aphid). Its description in RNAcentral is "uncharacterized LOC107884545". Lineage: Eukaryota; Metazoa; Arthropoda; Insecta; Hemiptera; Aphididae. The record is from RNAcentral.
CGCUUCGACAUAAUGUGUUAUAAUUACAUUAAACCAUCUACAUUAUAAUAUGAUCAAUAGGUAUAAUUAUUAAUUACGUAUCUACCUAGUUCAAAUAGUCACAGCAUUAUGUAAUGUACCUAUUAUUUAUAAUUUUUUUAUUAAUGUGCAGUCAAACUAAGAGAAAAAGAAAUAAAAAAUGUUUUUAUAGAUGUGUAUUUUAACUGAAUGUUAAUAUUUUAUUUACAUUACAUAUAGGUUUUAAUAAGGUACAUCCUAUAUAAAAUUAAAAUUGUUAUGUGCUGCACUCUUUAAUCAAAUUAGUAGGUAGGUAAUACAUUGUAAUAACAUUGUCGUCAUUCCUAUACCUGCACGCAGCCGUUGUCGUACGGCGUACACAUGACUUGACCACGCUUUAUACUAUUGUAAGGCCCAAGUAGAGUUUAUCGACGAUAAUUUUUCUAUAAUUAUUAUAAUAUUACCAUUUACCAAUAUGAUAAUUAAUAAUUAAUAAUAGCCGUACCAACAAUAUAGUGUCUAUAUACAUAAACAGUAUUCUUAGGUACCUAACUGUAUAUGACUCCAUGAUAUAAUCAUCUGUCCGCGUUACCGUUUAUGGUUGCAGUGUCUCGGUUCAUGUGCUCAAACGGUUGCGGCCGGUCGUACAAGUACAAAAAAGGAGUUACCCAACACCUGCGCUUCGAGUGCAGCAUACCUCCAAUGUUCAAGUGUUCGCUGUGCCACAAAACGUUCAAAAGGCGUAGCCACCUCAAGUUCCACAUUUCUAGCAUUCACCGCGUAUUCAUCAAAUGAGUUUAGACCGUUUAACAGGAAUAUAUUUGAGUUAACGAUAAAUAUUAUACGUUUAAUAAGAAAUACCUAUAGUUAACCAAUCCUGCAAGUCGUGAUAUUAGGUAUAUUAAUAUUGGAUCAAUGUGCAGUCAAAAGAAAAAUAUAAAAUACAAUUAACCUUAUAGACGUGUAUUAAUUUACUAAAUACUAACAUUUCAUUUCGCUUUAAUAUAUUCAUGCAUGAAUAAAAUAAGAUUCGUCACUCCUACCUGCAACUGAUUAAGCUACAAAAAUCAAUGACAGUGUAUACUUGUGACACAGAAAGUGUUUAACAAUAAUAUACUUGCUAUAAUAAUAUAAGAAAUAAUAACUGUACCAUACAUAUAAACCAUAAAAACGUAUGUAGGUAUAACCGUAUGACGUCGUGAUCCAUAAUAAUUGUAUGACCUUUUUACCGUUUAUGAUUGCAGUAUCCCGAUUUGUUUGCUCGAACGGAUGUGGCCGAUCAUACAAGUACAAGCAAGGAGUUAUGCAGCACCUGCGUUACGAGUGUGGCAUGAUUCCGAAAUUUAAGUGUUCGGUGUGUGGCAAAACGUUCAAGCAGCGUAGCUCCUUUAAAUCCCACAUUGUUUUAGUCCACCAGAUACUCAUCGAUUGAGUAGACCAUUUCACUAAAAUUAAAUUGAAUAAACUAUUUUACGUUUAAUAGGUACUUAGACAACUUUUACGAGUUGUACCAUUAUAUAUAAAUUAUGGAUUUUUCUUUUUGUAAAGUACAGUCAAAAUAAUAUGUUAAAAUAAAAAUAACCUUAUAAAUGUGUAUUAGUUUACCAAAUAUUAACAUUUUAUUUCACCUAAAUAUAUUCUUACCUCAACAAUCAAAAUGAGAGCACGCAUAAAUAAAAUAGGAUUCGUCAUUCCUAUACCUGCAGCUCAUAAAGCUACAAAAAUCGGCGACAGCGUAUACUUGUAGAGGCAGCGUGACACAGAAAGUGUUUACCAACGAUAGGGUCCCGAUUCGUAUGUCCGAACGGAUGCGGCAAGUCGUACAAGUACAAUAAAGGAGUUAUCCAGCAUCUGCGUUACGAGUGUGGCGUGAUUCCAAAGUUUAAGUGUUCAGUGUGUGGAAAAACGUUUAAACAGCGUAACGUCAUGAGGUUCCACAUUGCCAACGUUCACCACAUGAUCUCCGAUUGAGUAGACAGUUUCACUGGAAUAUUAUUUAAUAUAUUGUAACUUACAAUUAUUAUUUUACGUUUAAUAAGAGGUACCUAGCUUGCAAAUAGAAUAAGUUGUGGUAUUAUAGUAAUAUUGGAUUAAUGUGCUGUGAAAAGAAGAAAUAAAAAUUACUUUAUAGA